GCCAGGUGUAGUGGCGCAUGCCUGUAAUCCCAGUUAUUCAGGAGGCUGAGGCAAGAGGAUCACAAGUUUGAGGCCAGCCUCUGCAACUUAGUGAGACCCUGUCUCAA
This 107-nucleotide small RNA is filed under the name Marmota monax (woodchuck). Lineage: Eukaryota; Metazoa; Chordata; Mammalia; Rodentia; Sciuridae. The record is from RNAcentral.